GCCGAUGUAGCUCAGCUGGUAGAGCAUCUCAUUCGUAAUGAGGGGGUCGCAAGUUCGAAUCUUGUCAUCGGCACCA
RNAcentral lists this transfer RNA (76 nucleotides) under Rickettsiales bacterium. Its description in RNAcentral is "tRNA-Thr". It matches the Rfam family "tRNA". Rfam says of the family: Transfer RNA (tRNA) molecules are approximately 80 nucleotides in length. Their secondary structure includes four short double-helical elements and three loops (D, anti-codon, and T loops). Lineage: Bacteria; Pseudomonadati; Pseudomonadota; Alphaproteobacteria; Rickettsiales. The record is from RNAcentral.